This 484-nucleotide ribosomal RNA is filed under the name uncultured bacterium. RNAcentral's name for it is "partial 16S ribosomal RNA". It matches the Rfam family "Bacterial small subunit ribosomal RNA", at positions 30 to 507 of the family's 1533-position model. The record is from RNAcentral.
AUUGAACGCUGGCGGCAGGCCUAACACAUGCAAGUCGAGCGGAUGAAGGGAGCUUGCUCCUGGAUUCAGCGGCGGACGGGUGAGUAAUGCCUAGGAAUCUGCCUGGUAGUGGGGGAUAACGUCCGGAAACGGGCGCUAAUACCGCAUACGUCCUGAGGGAGAAAGUGGGGGAUCUUCGGACCUCACGCUAUCAGAUGAGCCUAGGUCGGAUUAGCUAGUUGGUGGGGUAAAGGCCUACCAAGGCGACGAUCCGUAACUGGUCUGAGAGGAUGAUCAGCCACACUGGAACUGAGACACGGUCCAGACUCCUACGGGAGGCAGCAGUGGGGAAUAUUGGGCAAUGGGCGAAAGCCUGAUCCAGCCAUGCCGCGUGUGUGAAGAAGGUCUUCGGAUUGUAAAGCACUGUAAGUUGGGAGGAAGGGCAGUAAGUUAAUACCUUGCUGUUUUGACGGUACCAACAGAAUAAGCACCGGCUAACUUCGUG